RNAcentral lists this long non-coding RNA (592 nucleotides) under Ananas comosus (pineapple). Its description in RNAcentral is "long non-coding RNA (ACOM_LNC017504)". Lineage: Eukaryota; Viridiplantae; Streptophyta; Magnoliopsida; Poales; Bromeliaceae. The record is from RNAcentral.
UAUCAGACACCAGAUAUACAACCGCAACACAAUCUAAUGUGACAACAUGCCAUGGGGACUCACUACAACAGAAUUAGGUUAUAGGGACACAUGUUUGGGACAUUUUUGAGUAAGUGUCCCAUUUAUGCUAAAACUUAAAAAAAUAUCUGCUAAUGCCUAAAUAUAAAGCCCAAUCCAACCAAAAAUAAAAGAUUACUCUACUCAACCCACCACACCCAGUUCAUUUGGCCCGAUUACAAACAGAAAAGAAAAAAAAAAAGAAAAAUCAAUUACCAUCUUUUCUUCUCUCUUCACUCAAUCCACUGAAAUUCUAGACGAAGAGCCUUUCCUGUCGUCCUCCUCCGCCACCGCAGCCAACGAGAUAAAAUUUCGGCGGUUGCUAAAUGCUUAAAUAAGUGUUCGUAAAUUAGCAGCACUCUUUUAGGUUAUAGCGACACUCUUUAACUGUCAAUAUAUACCUAGCGACCCCACAUAUAGUAACACUUUUUAAAAGUGUCGGUAAUUUUAGCUAGCAGCACUUUUUUGACAUGUACCUAUAUUUAAAAGUAUCGCUAUAGACCGUUUUUGUUGUAGUGACUUUUGAGAGAAGUCC